UGGGGAAUAUUGGACAAUGGGGGGAACCCUGAUCCAGCCAUGCCGCGUGUGUGAAGAAGGCCUUAUGGUUGUAAAGCACUUUAAGCGAGGAGGAGGGUACUGGUAUUAAUACUACCAGGUACUGGACGUUACUCGCAGAAUAAGCACCGGCUAACUCUGUGCCAGCAGCCGCGGUAAUACAGAGGGUGCGAGCGUUAAUCGGAUUUACUGGGCGUAAAGCGUGCGUAGGCGGCUAAUUGAGUCGGAUGUGAAAUCCCCGAGCUUAACUUGGGAAUUGCAUUCGAUACUGGUUAGCUAGAGUGUGGGAGAGGAUGGUAGAAUUCCAGGUGUAGCGGUGAAAUGCGUAGAGAUCUGGAGGAAUACCGAUAGCGAAGGCAGCCAUCUGACCUAACACUGACGCUGAGGUACGAAAGCAUGGGGAGCAAACAGG
RNAcentral lists this ribosomal RNA (430 nucleotides) under Pseudomonadota bacterium. RNAcentral's name for it is "Proteobacteria bacterium partial 16S ribosomal RNA". It matches the Rfam family "Bacterial small subunit ribosomal RNA", at positions 355 to 776 of the family's 1533-position model. The record is from RNAcentral. Lineage: Bacteria; Pseudomonadati; Pseudomonadota.